GCUUAGCUAUUAGGGAUUUUUUUUUCCAAAUAUAUAAAAGAAAGUCUACAUUACUUGCUUUCGCUUUUCUAGGGCGAUUCCCCACUUGUUUCCUUUAAUUUAUAUACAUAAUAUGUGAAUCGUCCAGGUCCUACAAUGGCAUAUUUACUUCUCAAACCUGGCUGUUGCCAAUUUUUAGAUGGACAAAUAAUAUCACAAUCUCAGGACAAAUUUAUUACUUAACGGAUUUAUUCCUUGUUUUCUUAUAUACUAAUAGAUUGAGGUGGGC
Molecule: long non-coding RNA, 268 nt
Filed under: Gossypium barbadense (sea-island cotton)
Lineage: Eukaryota; Viridiplantae; Streptophyta; Magnoliopsida; Malvales; Malvaceae
Description: long non-coding RNA (GBAR_LNC011850)
Source: RNAcentral